UAUUUUCUAUUGUAAAUUAGAAAAUUGGGUUUCUGUAACCAGAGAAGUUCUUCUUCCAUUCCUAUCCGCAGGGCUUGGUAUGGUUGGAGCAGGGUUGGUUCUAGAGAGAGUGCAGUUCUGGAGGGUUUUUGUAGAUAUACCUCAACUCUUUAUCAUGGUCCCUGCUCUGAUUGGUUUGAAGGGAAACCUGGAAAUGACUUUAGCUUCCAGAUUAUCUACCCAUGCUAACCUGGGACACCUGGAUACAGUUUCUCAGACACUAGAGAUGGGCGGAGCAAACCUUGCUCUUAUCCAACUUCAGGGUGUUGUGGUUGGUGGCCUGGCUGCAGGUAUUGCAGUGCUAAUGUCUUAUCUUACAUCACACUCAAUCAUGGAGUUUAGUAGUUUACUGGUAAUGCUCUGUAGUAGUGUGAUAACAGCAUCCUUGGCCAGCCUUAGUCUCGGGAUAGUUAUGAUCAUCGUUAUAGCAGUUUCGAGAAGGUUCGGAGUAAAUCCUGACAAUGUAGCUACUCCAGUAGCUGCUGCUCUAGGAGAUCUGGUUACACUUGCUCUUCUUUCCCUGGUUUCCUCCCUUCUCCGGUCUGCAGGAUACACUCCACAGCUCAUUAUCCUCGUUCUUUAUAUUGUUAUAGCUGUAUACUGUUACAGGAUCGCAGAUUUGAACAAGGAUACCAGGAAUAUUCUCCGAGAGGGUUGGACUCCAGUUCUCUGCGCUAUGCUCAUCUCAAGUCUAGGUGGAACUAUACUAAAUCGUGUAAUCUCCAGGUUCCCAAACAUUGCUCUUUUCCAACCUGUCAUUAAUGGCGUUGCUGGAAACCUAGUUGGAAUCCAAGCGUCCAGAAUCUCUACCGAGCUCCAUAAGCACAGCACACUUGGAACUUUACCAAACGAAGUUUCUUCGUGUAAUCUGCUAAACCCUCUGUAUACCUACCAUGCAGGGACUUGUGAUAAAUCAAGAAUAUUGACCGCUAAUUCAGUAGCUGCUCGGGUUCUGCUUUUCUUAGUUCUUCCAGGUCAUUUAACGUUUAACCUGGCUAUUGGAUUGUCACAAGGUUUCCAUAUCUUCUCUGUAUCCUUUCUUUUUCUGUACAUGGUCGCAGUUUUAUUUCAGGUUUGUUUCCUGCUUUACAUUGUUAAUAUUCUCGUGCACUUUCUUUGGCGAAGAGCUGUUGAUCCGGACAAUGCCGCAAUUCCAUAUCUCACUGCACUCGGAGAUUUACUUGGGGGGGCUCUUCUUGCAGUCGUCUUCAUUACACUAGACUUAAAUUAAAUAAAUAAAGCAAGAUUUUAUAUUCUAUUAAAUAACCAAAGACGUCCUUCUCUUUUACUUAAACCAGUGUUAUAGUUAUAAAUAUUAUUAAUUACUGACAUUGGAUAUGUAAAUUGUAGGAAAGUAUGAGUAAAGAUCGCACUAAACAUAAAACCUUUUAUUAUUUUUGUUGAAUUCCAUACAAUCAUAAUUCAAGAUUAACAAAAGCUAUUCGCAAACCUUACUAACACACUUCCUUCUAGUAAAGGUUCUGAAAUUUUACCCUCAUUUAGUUCUGAAGCAUUAGUAAUGUCUACCAUUUGAUCAAUUUUGAGAAAAAAACUAAAAAAAACUAACUAUUCUCUCAUGUACUUGAAGGCUGUGUGAAAUCUUAUCUUCAAACAUAAAAUAACCACAGUACAAUUCGUAAUAUGUCUUGAAACUUGCUGAAACCUUUUCUUCCGAACUACAACCCAUAGUGCCUUGUUGUAAACAUUACAAUUACGCUUAUGUUAACCAAUAAUAUUUGAUGUUGUAUCCUUUUUAGACCUUAUGCUUUUGCUCAAUGAAAUAAACCCAUGAAAUAUAUA
Molecule: unclassified non-coding RNA, 1839 nt
Filed under: Eurytemora carolleeae
Lineage: Eukaryota; Metazoa; Arthropoda; Copepoda; Calanoida; Temoridae
Description: solute carrier family 41 member 3
Source: RNAcentral